ACCUGGCUAGCUCAGUCGGAAGAGCAUGCAACUCUUGAUCUUAGGGUUGUGAGUUUGAGGGCCAUAUUGGGUGUGGAGAUUACUAAAAAAAUGAAGUUAAAAAGAAAGAAAAUAGAAAUAAUGAAAGAAAAAAGAACAAUGACAUAGAAAGUAAAGAUACAUUAAGAAAAUCAACACUGUUGGGGCGCCUGGGUGGCACAGCAGUUAAGCGUCUGCCUUCGGCUCAGGGCAUGAUCCCAGCGUUAUGGGAUCGAGCCCCACAUCAGGCU
This 269-nucleotide transfer RNA is filed under the name Ailuropoda melanoleuca (giant panda). RNAcentral's name for it is "tRNA-Lys". Lineage: Eukaryota; Metazoa; Chordata; Mammalia; Carnivora; Ursidae. The record is from RNAcentral.